RNAcentral lists this long non-coding RNA (252 nucleotides) under Gallus gallus (chicken). Lineage: Eukaryota; Metazoa; Chordata; Aves; Galliformes; Phasianidae. The record is from RNAcentral.
CUGGGUACUGCCGCUCCUCGUAGGCCGCUUCCUCGCACUUGCCGUGCUGCGACAGGGCGACGUAGGGCACGGCCUCCCGCGCCUGGCUGUGCCGGCUCAUCUGGACGAUGGGGCCCGCCAUGUCUCGGGGCAGGUUCACCCGGUGCGUGCUGGCCACGGCCUCCCAGUGCGCGAACAGCCGGCCCCGCUCCUCCUCAUCCUCCUCGUCCUCCCCCCCUUCCUCGUCCUCCUCCUCUUCCUCGUCGCCCAGCC